AGAGUUUGAUCCUGGCUCAGGACGAACGCUGGCGGUGUGCCUCACACAUGCAAGUCGAGCGGGUGAAAUUGGUAGCUUGCUAUCAACGUAAUCAGCGGCGGACGGGUGAGUAAUACGUAGGAAUCUGCCUCUAGGCGGGGGACAACGGACUGAAAGGUCCGCUAAUACCCCAUAUGCGAGUAAUCGUGAAAGGAGCAAUU
RNAcentral lists this ribosomal RNA (200 nucleotides) under uncultured bacterium. RNAcentral describes it as "partial 16S ribosomal RNA". It matches the Rfam family "Bacterial small subunit ribosomal RNA", at positions 8 to 214 of the family's 1533-position model. The record is from RNAcentral.